UACGUAGGGGGCUAGCGUUAUCCGGAUUUACUGGGCGUAAAGGGUGCGUAGGUGGUUUCUUAAGUCAGAGGUGAAAGGCUACGGCUCAACCGUAGUAAGCCUUUGAAACUGAGAAACUUGAGUGCAGGAGAGGAGAGUGGAAUUCCUAGUGUAGCGGUGAAAUGCGUAGAUAUUAGGAGGAACACCAGUUGCGAAGGCGGCUCUCUGGACUGUAACUGACACUGAGGCACGAAAGCGUGGGGAGCAAACAGGAUUAGAUACCCUGGUAGUCCCUGA
This 276-nucleotide ribosomal RNA is filed under the name uncultured prokaryote. Its description in RNAcentral is "partial 16S ribosomal RNA". It matches the Rfam family "Bacterial small subunit ribosomal RNA", at positions 524 to 800 of the family's 1533-position model. The record is from RNAcentral.